AAGUCGUAACAAGGUUUCCGUAGGUGAACCUGCGGAAGGAUCAUUAACACGUAUCCACGUAUCCACCCUUCGUGCACUCGUUUCCCCUCCCUGUUGAUCCACAUGCAAUGGAACUCUGUAGCGCUUUGAUUGGGACCCGUCACACGGUCGGCGCUGCGAGAACACUGGAGAAGCUUCGGCUCCUCUGACAUUGGUAGUGGAACGGCAGGCAACAUUUCUAUCAGGAGCGUCUCCAAUCAAGACGUGACUGGUGGAUGCAAAUUCACACCUUUCACCCCCUUUUUGCUAGUUGACUUUUUUAAUGUUGAGUUUCCUGUAUUCAUUUACAUGUUGCUCACACGUUUAAUUACUUGAACGUUAAAAUACAACUCUUAGCGAUGGAUAUCUAGGUUCUC
Molecule: unclassified non-coding RNA, 395 nt
Filed under: fungal sp.
Lineage: Eukaryota; Fungi
Description: partial internal transcribed spacer region
Rfam family: Eukaryotic small subunit ribosomal RNA (bases 1-46)
Source: RNAcentral